GAAGGUGACCUGUGAGGGUUGCUGGAGGUAUCAGAAGUGCGAAUGCUGACAUAAGUAACGAUAAAGCGGGUGAAAAGCCCGCUCGCCGGAAGACCAAGGGUUCCUGUCCAACGUUAAUCGGGGCAGGGUGAGUCGACCCCUAAGGCGAGGCCGAAAGGCGUAGUCGAUGGGAAACGGGUUAAUAUUCCCGUACUUGGUGUUACUGCGAAGGGGGGACGGAGAAGGCUAUGUUGGCCGGGCGACGGUUGUCCCGGUUUAAGCGUGUAGGUGUGUGUUCCAGGUAAAUCCGGUUCACUUUAACACUGAGGCGUGAUGACGAGGCACUACGGUGCUGAAGCAACAAAUGCCCUGCUUCCAGGAAAAGCCUCUAAGCAUCAGGUAACAUCAAAUCGUACCCCAAACCGACACAGGUGGUCAGGUAGAGAAUACCAAGGCGCUUGAGAGAACUCGGGUGAAGGAACUAGGCAAAAUGGUGCCGUAACUUCGGGAGAAGGCACGCUGACACGUAGGUGAAGUGAUUUACUCACGGAGCUGAAGUCAGUCGAAGAUACCAGCUGGCUGCAACUGUUUAUUAAAAACACAGCACUGUGCAAACACGAAAGUGGACGUAUACGGUGUGACGCCUGCCCGGUGCCGGAAGGUUAAUUGAUGGGGUCAGCGCAAGCGAAGCUCCUGAUCGAAGCCCCGGUAAACGGCGGCCGUAACUAUAACGGUCCUAAGGUAGCGAAAUUCCUUGUCGGGUAAGUUCCGACCUGCACGAAUGGCGUAAUGAUGGCCAGGCUGUCUCCACCCGAGACUCAGUGAAAUUGAACUCGCUGUGAAGAUGCAGUGUACCCGCGGCAAGACGGAAAGACCCCGUGAACCUUUACUAUAGCUUGACACUGAACAUUGAGCCUUGAUGUGUAGGAUAGGUGGGAGGCUUUGAAGUGUGGACGCCAGUCUGCAUGGAGCCGACCUUGAAAUACCACCCUUUAAUGUUUGAUGUUCUAACGUGGACCCGUAAUCCGGGUUGCGGACAGUGUCUGGUGGGUAGUUUGACUGGGGCGGUCUCCUCCUAAAGAGUAACGGAGGAGCACGAAGGUUGGCUAAUCCUGGUCGGACAUCAGGAGGUUAGUGCAAUGGCAUAAGCCAGCUUGACUGCGAGCGUGACGGCGCGAGCAGGUGCGAAAGCAGGUCAUAGUGAUCCGGUGGUUCUGAAUGGAAGGGCCAUCGCUCAACGGAUAAAAGGUACUCCGGGGAUAACAGGCUGAUACCGCCCAAGAGUUCAUAUCGACGGCGGUGUUUGGCACCUCGAUGUCGGCUCAUCACAUCCUGGGGCUGAAGUAGGUCCCAAGGGUAUGGCUGUUCGCCAUUUAAAGUGGUACGCGAGCUGGGUUUAGAACGUCGUGAGACAGUUCGGUCCCUAUCUGCCGUGGGCGCUGGAGAACUGAGGGGGGCUGCUCCUAGUACGAGAGGACCGGAGUGGACGCAUCACUGGUGUUCGGGUUGUCAUGCCAAUGGCACUGCCCGGUAGCUAAAUGCGGAAGAGAUAAGUGCUGAAAGCAUCUAAGCACGAAACUUGCCCCGAGAUGAGUUCUCCCUGAGACUUAGAGUCUCCUGAAGGAACGUUGAAGACGACGACGUUGAUAGGCCGGGUGUGUAAGCGCAGCGAUGCGUUGAGCUAACCGGUACUAAUGAACCGUGAGGCUUAACCUU
This 1695-nucleotide ribosomal RNA is filed under the name Salmonella enterica. RNAcentral's name for it is "partial 23S ribosomal RNA". It matches the Rfam family "Bacterial large subunit ribosomal RNA", at positions 1252 to 2925 of the family's 2925-position model. RNAcentral also lists the same sequence under 1 other name. The record is from RNAcentral. Lineage: Bacteria; Pseudomonadati; Pseudomonadota; Gammaproteobacteria; Enterobacterales; Enterobacteriaceae.